UCUGGAGACAGGUGCUGCAUGGCUGUCGUCAGCUCCGUGUCGUGAGAUGUUGGGUUAAGUCCCGCAACGAGCGCAACCCUUGCCUUUAGUUGCCAGCAGUUCGGCUGGGCACUCUAAAGGGACUGCCGGUGUUAAACCGGAGGAAGGUGGGGAUGACGUCAAGUCCUCAUGGCCUUUAUGACCAGGGCUACACACGUACUACAAUGGCCGAUACAAAGGGCAGCGACACUGCGAGGUGAAGCCAAUCCCGUAAAAUCGGUCUCAGUCCGGAUUGGAGUCUGCAACUCGACUCCAUGAAGUUGGAAUCGCUAGUAAUCGUGGAUCAGCAUGCCACGGUGAAUACGUUCCCGGGCCUU
RNAcentral lists this ribosomal RNA (356 nucleotides) under uncultured Desulfobulbus sp. RNAcentral describes it as "bacterial SSU rRNA". It matches the Rfam family "Bacterial small subunit ribosomal RNA", at positions 1027 to 1382 of the family's 1533-position model. The record is from RNAcentral. Lineage: Bacteria; Pseudomonadati; Thermodesulfobacteriota; Desulfobulbia; Desulfobulbales; Desulfobulbaceae.